This 333-nucleotide long non-coding RNA is filed under the name Capsicum annuum. RNAcentral's name for it is "long non-coding RNA (CANN_LNC022154)". The record is from RNAcentral. Lineage: Eukaryota; Viridiplantae; Streptophyta; Magnoliopsida; Solanales; Solanaceae.
AUAGCAUCUCAUGAAACAAAAAAUAUGAAUUUAUAUACAUAAAAAUAAAGGAAUACAAUAAGGUAUCAUUAACUUUUGUAUUAAAUAUUUAGGGGUUAUAAAUAUAAAAUCAUGAAUAGCUUGAGAGUUACAAAUAUUAUUAGUAGAAAUUAAAUAGAUGAGUUAAUAAAUAGAGUUUAAAUGUGGUGACUUUUGAUUUUUCUUUAAACACACAACUAUUUAAAAUAAGAAGAAAACUCAAUAAAUAUUCAAAAAAAAAAACACAAAAAAGAUAAAUAGGUUUGAAGGCUUCUAAGAUAUGCCACAUAGGAUUGGCUAUUGAUCUCUUUUAUA